GUAGGUGGCAAGCGUUGUCCGGAAUUAUUGGGCGUAAAGCGCGCGCAGGCGGUCCUUUAAGUCUGAUGUGAAAGCCCACGGGCUCAACCGUGGAGGGUCAUUGGAAACUGGGGGACUUGAGUACAGAAGAGGAAAGCGGAAUUCCAAGUGUAGCGGUGAAAUGCGUAGAGAUUUGGAGGAACACCAGUGGCGAAGGCGGCUUUCUGGUCUGUAACUGACGCUGAGGCGCGAAAGCGUGGGGAGCAAACAGGAUUAGAUACCCUGGUAGUCCACGCCAUAAACGAUGAGUGCUAAGUGUUAGGGGGUUUCCGCCCCUUAGUGCUGCAGCUAACGCAUUAAGCACUCCGCCUGGGGAGUACGGCCGCAAAGGCUG
RNAcentral lists this ribosomal RNA (373 nucleotides) under uncultured organism. Its description in RNAcentral is "partial 16S ribosomal RNA". It matches the Rfam family "Bacterial small subunit ribosomal RNA", at positions 527 to 896 of the family's 1533-position model. The record is from RNAcentral.